CGGCACAUUUGUGUGAUACUUCAGAUACUUGCUGAUACCAACAACCUAUUCCGCAUCCGCAUCCCGACGCUCCAGCUUUGCCUAAAAUGCUAAAGGGUAGCACACUCAAAGCCCUGGACGUCAGAAUCCUACGGCCCCUUAUUAAAACAAGGUCAGCAGCGGAGGACAGCAGCGCAGCUUCUCCAGCAGCAUCCACCGGUCCUACAUAACUUUCAAUGAUUUCCGCAAGAAACACCGCUGGUACACUAAGAAGGAGCUUGUGGGGUACUCCAUGCAGGAUAUGUACAGCGUGGUUUCCGACGUCAGCAAUUACCACAAGUUCGUGCCGUAUGUAAAGCGCUCCGAUGUCCACAGCCAGAGCAGUGGGGGCUUUAAGGCGGACCUCAUCGUCGGGUUUCCGCCGCUUAACGAGGCCUACACCUCGCAGGUGACCCUAGUGGCGCCCAGCUUGGUUAAAUCUGAGUGCCACGAUGGACGUCUGUUUAACUACCUCCUGAAUGAGUGGUCUUUUAAGCCGGGCCUCAAGGACAUACCUAACUCCUGCGUGCUGGACUUCAAGGUCUCCUUCGAGUUCAAGUCCCUCCUGCACAGCAACGUCGCCAACAUAUUUUUUGACCUUAUCUGCGAUCAAAUGGAAAACGCUUUCAUCCAGGAGGUGCGUCGACGGAGUGGUCCGCCCUCAAUCCGCUCCCACGUGCUCACUUCGGAGCGGUCCUGACC
Molecule: unclassified non-coding RNA, 720 nt
Filed under: Drosophila yakuba
Lineage: Eukaryota; Metazoa; Arthropoda; Insecta; Diptera; Drosophilidae
Description: GE19067
Source: RNAcentral